Small nucleolar RNA from Mastomys coucha (southern multimammate mouse), 145 nucleotides. RefSeq annotates it as small nucleolar RNA SNORA48. The record is from RefSeq and is a predicted model, not a curated record. NCBI's taxonomy places the organism in Eukaryota, Metazoa, Chordata, Mammalia, Rodentia, Muridae. The transcript has a single exon.
UUCUCCCGACAAUGGGCAAAGAGUCAUCUUGGUGGUUGGUGGUGUUUCUAUAUCAUUCAGGGACAGAGCAGAUGGCAGUCCUUUGUUUAUCCUAGCUUGAUGCCUGGCUGGGUGGCCACAGCUGUUUUAUGCAUAGGAUUCAUAA